GUAGGGAAUAUUGCACAAUGGAGGAAACUCUGAUGCAGCGACGCCGCGUGAGUGAUGAAGGCCUUCGGGUCGUAAAGCUCUGUCGCAGGGGAAUAAGCAAGUGAAUGUACCCUGAAAGAAAGGAUCGGCUAACUUCGUGCCAGCAGCCGCGGUAAGACGAGGGAUCCUAGCGUUGUUCGGAAUUAUUGGGCGUAAAGCGGGUGUAGGUGGCUUUGUAAGUCAGGUGUGAAAGCCCAGGGCUCAACCCUGGAAGUGCAUUUGAUACUGCGAAGCUUGAGUGUAGGAGAGGUUACUAGAAUUCUUGGUGUAGUGGUGAAAUACGUAGAUAUCAAGAGGAAUACCGGAGGCGAAAGCGGGUAACUGGCCUAACACUGACACUCAGACCCGAAAGCGUGGGGAUCAAACAGGAUUAGAAACCCCUGUAGUCC
This 428-nucleotide ribosomal RNA is filed under the name uncultured bacterium. RNAcentral's name for it is "bacterial SSU rRNA". It matches the Rfam family "Bacterial small subunit ribosomal RNA", at positions 354 to 796 of the family's 1533-position model. The record is from RNAcentral.